AAUUCUCAAUCUCUACAGCUUUUGUUGUUUAGUAGAUUGGAUGUGGAGGUUCUUUGUGUGGGAUGAAAAUCCCUCACUCCUCUUAAAUGUAUUAGCUGGAAUGCCUCUGCAUAUCUGACUAUCAGUGUGAUAAUUAUCUAUACUGUAGUUGUUGCAUGAGGGUAUCUGCUUCAUUAACCGUCGCAAGACAACUCUAAUGACCA
This 203-nucleotide unclassified non-coding RNA is filed under the name Conocybe cylindracea. RNAcentral's name for it is "partial internal transcribed spacer 2". Lineage: Eukaryota; Fungi; Basidiomycota; Agaricomycetes; Agaricales; Bolbitiaceae. The record is from RNAcentral.